Molecule: small nucleolar RNA, 76 nt
Organism: Mytilus trossulus (common blue mussel)
Lineage: Eukaryota; Metazoa; Mollusca; Bivalvia; Mytilida; Mytilidae
Source: RefSeq, a predicted model, not a curated record
CAGUAUCAAUGAUGAUUAAAACUAACACCAUCUUUCGGCUGAGUCCUGAUGGAUUAAUUAAUAUCUGAUGGUACAG